RNAcentral lists this long non-coding RNA (321 nucleotides) under Mytilus galloprovincialis (Mediterranean mussel). The record is from RNAcentral. Lineage: Eukaryota; Metazoa; Mollusca; Bivalvia; Mytilida; Mytilidae.
GAAAAUAAUUAUAUUUAUAAGUACGUCUGAGUCAGUGACAACUCUACAACAGAUGUAUCCAUCGGAUCGCCAUCAAUGAUGGUGAUACAUGGCUGUGUACAUAAUGUAUAUACAACUCGUCUAAACAUCAACCCAACAAUGUUAGAUCUGUAAAAUUUGCUUUCGCAAAUUUUUUGGUUCUUCCCUCGCCGGGAUUCGAACCCAUGCUACUGUGAUAUCGUGACACCAAAUCGCCUGCACUGCAGCCGUCCCGCUAGACCACACGACCACCUGGGCUCUCUAAAAAAAAAGAGCUUUCGCUGGCCGUGUGUUACCUUUCCA